UACAGCCAGUUGUGGGACUAUGGACAAGAACUGAGGAGAAGUAAUCCAGGGAGCAAAUUCAUUGUUUGCACAACCAAAGUGAAGGAAAAAGGUGACGUGCUUCCAAAAGAUCACCUAUUUUCACUGUAUUGGUCCUAUGGUGCCUGCAAGAGAGGUUUUCUGAGGGGAUGCAGGCCAAUUAUAUUUGUUGAUGGGUGUCACCUGAAGAGCAAAUAUAAGGGUGUGCUGCUUACAGCUGUUGGGAUUGAUCCCAAUGAUUGCAUAUUUCCAAUUGCAAUGGGGAUGAUGGAGGUGGAGUCAACUUACUCUUGGGAAUGGUUUCUCACCACU
This 330-nucleotide ribosomal RNA is filed under the name Triticum aestivum (bread wheat). RNAcentral's name for it is "partial small subunit ribosomal RNA". Lineage: Eukaryota; Viridiplantae; Streptophyta; Magnoliopsida; Poales; Poaceae. The record is from RNAcentral.